UUUCCGUAGGUGAACCUGCGGAAGGGUCAUUAAAGAACGCCCCGUUUUUUGAAAUGGGUAAUUCUAAACCGUGUAUACAUACCUUUGUUGCUUUGGCAGGCCGCCCCUCAGGGCGUCGGCUCCGGCUGACUGCGCCUGCCAGAGGACCCAAACUCUUUUGUUUAGUGAUGUCUGAGUACUAUAUAAUAGUUAAAACUUUCAACAACGGAUCUCUUGGUUCUGGCAUCGAUGAAGAGCGCAGC
Molecule: unclassified non-coding RNA, 242 nt
Filed under: plant metagenome
Description: partial contains small subunit ribosomal RNA, internal transcribed spacer 1, and 5.8S ribosomal RNA
Rfam family: 5.8S ribosomal RNA (bases 194-242)
Source: RNAcentral